GAUGAACGCUGGCGGCGUGCCUAAUACAUGCAAGUCGAGCGAACUUUUGGGAGCUUGCUCCCCAAAGUUAGCGGCGGACGGGUGAGUAACACGUGGGCAACCUGCCUGUAAGACUGGGAUAACUUCGGGAAACCGGAGCUAAUCCCGGAUAACAUUGAACACCCCAUGGCCUUCAAUUAAAAGGUGGCUUUUAGCUACCACUUACAGACGGACCCGCGGCGCGUUAGCUAGUUGGUGAGGUAACGGCUCACCAAGGCGACGAUGCGUAGCCGACCUGAUAGGGUGGACGGCCACCACGGGACUGGGACACGGCCCAGACUUCUACGGGAAGGAGCAGGAGGGGAUCUUUCGCAAAGGAGGGAAGGCUUGCGGAGGAACGACGCGUGAGCGAAGAAGGCCGUCGGGGCGGAAAGGUCUGUUGGUAGGGAAGAACAAGCAUCGUGCGAGUAGGGCGGUACCUUGACGGUACCUAAAGAGAAAGCCACGGCUAACUACGUG
RNAcentral lists this ribosomal RNA (498 nucleotides) under uncultured bacterium. RNAcentral's name for it is "partial 16S ribosomal RNA". It matches the Rfam family "Bacterial small subunit ribosomal RNA", at positions 28 to 507 of the family's 1533-position model. The record is from RNAcentral.